AGGACACCUGAUCUUAAACCGUCAUACUUCCACUUUGGAGAAUCUUGAUAAUAUCGAGUUGGAUAUUAUCAAUAGCUCAACAAAAACUUUGAAUUUGUACAUGCAGCAGAGACAGAAAUAUGCCACUGCAGCAGAUUUCUCCAGACCAACAUUAAGAGUAGGAAAGUAUGUCUCCUCACCAGAUUCAACAACUUCUUUUGAAUCCUGAUACCAACAAAACAAGGCACAACACUAAAUCUCUAAAUUGCCUUGAUGGAGCAAAGCUAGAGCAACUAAAAGACUUAGGUUUAUGUCCCUAAAUCUCUAAAUUGCGAUAUAAAAUCCCUAAAUUUCGAUAGAAAAUUCCUAAAUUGCGCUCUAUAAGAC
RNAcentral lists this long non-coding RNA (366 nucleotides) under Nicotiana benthamiana. RNAcentral's name for it is "long non-coding RNA (NBEN_LNC009792)". The record is from RNAcentral. Lineage: Eukaryota; Viridiplantae; Streptophyta; Magnoliopsida; Solanales; Solanaceae.